GACGAACGCUGGCGGCGUGCCUAAUACUUGCAAGUAGAACGAGUGGCGGACGGGUGAGUAAUGUCUGGGAAACUGCCUGAUGGAGGGGGAUAACUACUGGAAACGGUAGCUAAUACCGCAUACCAUCAGAUGUGCCCAGAUGGGAUUAGCUUGUUGGUGGGGUCACGGCUCACCAAGGCGACGAUCCCUAGCUGGUCUGAGAGGAUGACCAGCCACACUGGAACUGAGACACGGUCCAGACUCCUACGGGAGGCAGCCGUGGGGAAUAUUGGACAAUGGGCGCAAGCCUGAUGCAGCCAUGCCGCGUGUAUGAAGAAGGCCUUCGGGUUGUAAAGUACUUUCAGCGGGGAGGCGUUACCCGCAGAAGAAGCACCGGCUAAAUACGAGACAGCAGCCGCGGUAAUUC
This 406-nucleotide ribosomal RNA is filed under the name uncultured bacterium. RNAcentral describes it as "partial 16S ribosomal RNA". It matches the Rfam family "Bacterial small subunit ribosomal RNA", at positions 28 to 526 of the family's 1533-position model. The record is from RNAcentral.